Molecule: long non-coding RNA, 98 nt
Organism: Etheostoma spectabile (orangethroat darter)
Lineage: Eukaryota; Metazoa; Chordata; Actinopteri; Perciformes; Percidae
Exons: 3
Source: RefSeq, a predicted model, not a curated record
AGGGCCCUCAACUCAAAGAGAGACUGAGCAGGGACCCACUACUACAUGUUGUUUAAAAUUGAGUUGCAUAUUAACCUGGGCCUACAUUAACGAGUUGG